CGACUCCAUGAAGCUGGAUUCGCUAGUAAUCGCGCAUCAGCCACGGCGCGGUGAAUACGUUCCCGGGCCUUGUACACACCGCCCGUCAAGCCAUGGAAGCCGGGGAGUGCCUGAAGUGCGUGACCGCAAGGAGCGUCCUAAGGCAAUACCGGUGACUGGGGCUAAGUCGUAACAAGGUACC
Molecule: ribosomal RNA, 181 nt
Filed under: uncultured bacterium
Lineage: Bacteria
Description: partial 16S ribosomal RNA
Rfam family: Bacterial small subunit ribosomal RNA
Source: RNAcentral